RNAcentral lists this long non-coding RNA (2117 nucleotides) under Equus caballus (horse). RNAcentral's name for it is "lncRNA (ENSECAG00000050279.1)". The record is from RNAcentral. Lineage: Eukaryota; Metazoa; Chordata; Mammalia; Perissodactyla; Equidae.
CUCACCUGCAGCUCCCGAUGUCUCUGUCCAUCUAGGGUCACCCUAGUAGGGCUCUCUGCAGCGGCCCCACCUGUAUGGGGCAUGGGUCUCUGCCUGGGUCGUGAGCCCAAGGCUCCAGGUCACUCCAUCCUUCAAAAUCCAGGUGCAGGUGGCAAGGCCCCCAUGGCUCUUGCUUUCUGUGCACUGGCAGAGGUGGUACCUCCCGGACAACAGACGGCACCAAUGUUUACCACCUGUACCCUCCAGAGGGGCAGCCACCUCUGCCUGUGGCACCAGAAAGCUGGGAGCAGAGGCUUGAAAUCUGCCCCACAGGCUCUUGGGCCUGUGAUGGGAGGGGCACCUCCAUGGUCUCUGAAAUGCCUUGGGGUCAUUCUUCCACCGUCUGGGACAGUAGGCCCCGGCUUCUGUUUACGUGGCUGACUAAUCUCCCCAUUGUCCUGACAGAUGGCUCCUAGCUUAGCUGGGAAGGCCUAUCCACGCCAAUCUCCUUAUCAUUUCGGCCACACCCUUCGUGCCCUCUCUGAACAGGCUUUUGCAUUAUUUUCAAUAAGGGAAAGCUGAGAAUUUUCCAAAUUUUUAAGGUCUGCUUCCUUUCUGGUUACCAGUUCCAUCUUUAGACCAUUCCUCUCUUCUUGUGUUUUACUGGGAGUAUUCAAAAGAAACCAGGCCCCUCCUUCAGCUCUUCCACUUUGCUUGGAAAUUCCCUCAGCGAAGAUCUGAUUUCACGGCUCACAAGUCCUACCUUCUACCAAACUAGGACACGCACGCUUAAUCCAGCCGGGCUGCUUUAUCACAAGGAUUACAACUCUUGUUAUAAAGAGAGAGCCUGAUCCUCAUUUCCAUCCGAGAGCUCAUCAGAAUGGCCUUGACGUCCAGGUUUCGGCCAGCAUUCUGUUCAGGGCCCCUUAGGCAUUCUCUACGAGGACUGGGUCCUCUUCUCUCUCUGGGCUCUCACCAGAAUCCCCGUCACGGUCUGUUCAUGGCAGUGGGGGCUUUUUCUAGCAGCCGCCGCAAAACUUGCAACCCCUGAGUUCCCGAGCUGCUUCCACAUUCUUAGGUCUGUGUUACUGCAGCACCCCCACUCCUCAGUCACCAUUUUCUGACUUAUUCAGGCUGCUGUACCAAAAAUACCAUGAACGGGGUGGAGGGUGCUUAUAAACAACAGAAAUUAAUUUCUCACAGUCCUGGAGGCUGGGAGCCCAAGAUCAGGCUGCUGGCCGAUUAUUUCUGGCGAGAGCCGGCUCCUCACAGACGGCGUCUCUGCUGUGACCUCACAUGGCAGAAAGGGGUUAGGAUUUCAACACGUGACUUUGCUGACUUUGCGGGAAAACAAAUCUUCAGACCACACAGCACCAGGGAACCUGCAGGCUGGGUUUGGAGCUGUCCCCACUGCUGGAGUGAUGAGAGAAGCUGGGAGCAUCACGGAAGUGCCACCCUCUCCUGCCCAGGCUCCUCCUGCCUGCUUACAGCGAGGAGGGGGCCUGGGAGGGCAGCCCCAGAGCAGAGCAUGGAAGGUGGAGCUGAAGAUGAAGAGCAAAUAAUUGACAUGGUCAUCUGGUCAUCUCUCCUCCUGCUGACAUUGACCUCCCGGGAAGCUGGUCACUAAUCCUGGAAGGCGUCCCCCAUCUGUAUUCUGGAUUCACCUGGGUUCCUUGUAGCAUCUGACUUGUUCCUCCAUGCCCUCUGUUUCCUCUAGUCUGGAAGCUGGAUUGAAAGUUCCGACAGGAUACACACUUCCGAAGGGCUGCCCAGUCCUUCCCGUCCCCACACACCAGGAGCCUCAUGUCUGCCUGUUGCACCUCUGCUGAUGCUAAAAGAAUAGGCUCAGAUGGCGACCACCUGGCCCCUUUAUCCUCGGUUCUCCAUCAACCUUUCACUGAAACGUUUUGCACCCGUAGGGGAGCGCCGCCUGAACCAGCUCCCGCACCAGAGCUGUGGAUUAGUCUCCUGACCCUCGUCCCUUCUGCAUUCAGUGGCUGGAAUUCUCUCCCAAGAACUUCCCCCAUCCAUGAGGCUGUUGGGUUACCCUAAAUUAGGUUCAUACCUGGAAGCCAGCAUAAAGCUUAAUUCUUUGCCUUCAGUUGUCAGUUGUCAGAGUAAGAAUGUCCUGGAACCUC